CCGGAGGGUCUCUAGGGUUCAUUAUAACGAUCACGGGUGGGCUGAAGAAGAGCAGAUCUAUCGCUUUUAUUGCGACCAAUCCAUUGGCGGAGCAUGUGGAGAGUAGGCAUCAUAGUAAAGGAGGGUUUUGGAAGAAGUUGAUUAGAUCGGCGGGGAAGGGGACGAAGAAGGUUCUCAUGCAUUCAAGAACCGUUAGACAAAAACUCAAGAUGAUCUGCAGUUCUAGACAAUCAUGGAUUUAGAUUAUCACACUAUAUAUACACA
RNAcentral lists this long non-coding RNA (264 nucleotides) under Daucus carota (carrot). RNAcentral describes it as "long non-coding RNA (DCAR_LNC002203)". The record is from RNAcentral. Lineage: Eukaryota; Viridiplantae; Streptophyta; Magnoliopsida; Apiales; Apiaceae.